AGUUCUAACCUGCUCUGCAGGAAUAACGGUCCUGCCUCCCGACACUCUUGGCGAGGUUUUUGUACAGUUUGCUCCGGGAGCUGUUUCUUCGCUUCCACCUUUUUCUCCCCCACACUUCGCGGCUUCUUCAUGCUUUUUCUUCUCACCAUUUCUGGCCAAAACUACAAACAAGACUUCGCAGAUCGAGCCUGCGUGCUGCCGAAGCAGGGCGCCGAGUCCAUGCGAACUGCCAUCUGAUCCGCUCUUAUCAAUGAAGCAGCCGAUCAUGGCGGAUGGCCCCCGGUGCAAGAGGCGCAAACAAGCCAAUCCCAGGAGGAAAAACGGGUCAUCAAGAUUGUCAGAAAAGGCCUGGACUACAUGCCUGUCCCAGCACUAGAUUGUGGUGAACUAUGACAAUGUAGUGGACACAGGUUCUGAAACAGAUGAGGAAGACAAGCUUCAUAUUGCUGAGGAUGACGGUAUUGCCAACCCUCUGGACCAGGAGACGAGUCCAGCUAGUGUGCCCAACCAUGAGUCCUCCCCACACGUGAGCCAAGCUCUGUUGCCAAGAGAGGAAGAGGAAGAUGAAAUAAGGGAGGGUG
RNAcentral lists this long non-coding RNA (581 nucleotides) under Homo sapiens (human). RNAcentral describes it as "non-protein coding lnc-ZEB2-1:8". Lineage: Eukaryota; Metazoa; Chordata; Mammalia; Primates; Hominidae. The record is from RNAcentral.